CCUGGAAACAGAUGCUAAUACCGGAUAACAACAGAUGAUGCCUAUCAACUGUUUAAAAGAUGGUUCUGCUAUCACUCUUGGAUGGACCUGCGGUGCAUUAGCUAGUUGGUAGGGUAACGGCCUACCAAGGCGAUGAUGCAUAGCCGAGUUGAGAGACUGAUCGGCCACAUUGGGACUGAGACACGGCCCAAACUCCUACGGGAGGCGCAGGC
RNAcentral lists this ribosomal RNA (212 nucleotides) under uncultured Lactobacillus sp. RNAcentral's name for it is "partial 16S ribosomal RNA". It matches the Rfam family "Bacterial small subunit ribosomal RNA", at positions 149 to 349 of the family's 1533-position model. Lineage: Bacteria; Bacillati; Bacillota; Bacilli; Lactobacillales; Lactobacillaceae. The record is from RNAcentral.